UGCUUCGUGGCGCAAUUGGUUAGCGCGUCUGACUGUUACCGUUCCGGUCAUCAGGAGGCUGUGAGUUCGAGUCUCACCGAAGCAG
Molecule: transfer RNA, 85 nt
Organism: Tulasnella calospora
Lineage: Eukaryota; Fungi; Basidiomycota; Agaricomycetes; Cantharellales; Tulasnellaceae
Rfam family: tRNA
About the family: Transfer RNA (tRNA) molecules are approximately 80 nucleotides in length. Their secondary structure includes four short double-helical elements and three loops (D, anti-codon, and T loops).
Source: Rfam